RNAcentral lists this transfer RNA (64 nucleotides) under Cryptotympana atrata. RNAcentral describes it as "tRNA-Glu". Lineage: Eukaryota; Metazoa; Arthropoda; Insecta; Hemiptera; Cicadidae. The record is from RNAcentral.
AUUUAUAAAGUUUUUAAAACAUUUCAUUUUCAUUGAAAAGAUGAGAUAAAUAUCUCUAUAAAUG